CUCUCUCCCUCUCAUUAAAUUCAUCAUCAAUUUGGGUUGUUCAAGCUAAUUUAAUACAAGAUUGAGCUUCAUCAUCAUCUCAUCUUAAUUAUAUCAUAAAUUUGAAGUCACAUUACAAGAAAUAAUCAAUUCGGGUCAAUUUUCGGAUUCAAGAACUUUUGAUGAUUUUGGUGGUGGACGUGAAGUGAACGUAAGAUGACAUUGACUCGACUUUAUAUCAUCUUAACUUUUUAUUGCCAAUCAAGGUAAUCAGGUGAACCCAUGACGAGAUGUUUGAUUGAUGACUAGAUAUGGACCGGGGUAUGGACUUAUAGGAUCCCCGAUUCAUUGCCCAUUUUUACAUUAUGCUUAGGAUCAUUUGCCAUCUCUUAAUGAUUGUUUUGUAAACUGUGAUAUUCACUUGCUCCUUAUGCAUUUUGUACUUGAAUUCAUGUUAUUUAUGGAUUCACCGAAUUCACUUACUUU
This is a long non-coding RNA of Erigeron canadensis, 465 nucleotides long. RefSeq lists it as uncharacterized. The transcript has 3 exons. NCBI's taxonomy places the organism in Eukaryota, Viridiplantae, Streptophyta, Magnoliopsida, Asterales, Asteraceae. The record is from RefSeq and is a predicted model, not a curated record.